UACGGAGGGUGCGAGCGUUUGUCCGGAAUCAUUGGGCGUAAAGGGCGCGUAGGCGGGUCUUUAAGUCAGGGGUGAAAUCCUGGAGCUCAACUCCAGAACUGCCUUUGAUACUGAGAAGCUUGAGUCCGGGAGAGGUGAGUGGAACUGCGAGUGUAGAGGUGAAAUUCGUAGAUAUUCGCAAGAACACCAGUGGCGAAGGCGGCUCACUGGCCCGGUACUGACGCUGAGGUGCGAAAGCGUGGGGAGCAAACAGG
Molecule: ribosomal RNA, 254 nt
Filed under: uncultured bacterium
Lineage: Bacteria
Description: partial 16S ribosomal RNA
Rfam family: Bacterial small subunit ribosomal RNA
Source: RNAcentral